CGGUACACUGCACCGGACACUACAUCGGCAUAGACCGUUGGCAGAAAACGGACUAAAAGCCAAUCUGACUGGGAAUACGCCCAAAAAAGUGGGUGAAACUGUUUCAGGCGGGUCGGAAUUUUUUCUUAAUCAGUUCGUUCCAUAUCACUCUAAUGAUUGUUUCCGGCAAGGUCGCGUGUGACACUCCACUUUCGUUAACAAGUUGCCUUCAGAAUUGGAUUCGUUGUGACGCUUGUUAAGCCAGUAGAAGAUAACUGAUUUGGACUUAGACCUUGUACGUCACAGGGCAACUGUGACGCUGCUUGAAAGGGCAGAUAUCUUUGCUUCGGUGUUUGCCAUCCGGCACGCUCGCCGAACGGUGUGCAUGUUACCGGUCAGUUCGUGUGAAGCGGCAGUCCAUCCUGCCAGGCUAGCAAGCGAAUAUGCUUGACGAGUAGGAGUUGUUACAGUCCUACGGCAUCGUCUAAAGCGAGGGCGGGGAUGCAAAGCAGACUAGACUUCCGAGCUUUUCCUUAGGUUUACUCUGUAUCGUAGCCCCGCGGCUGUGAGGAGUAGCAGACCGAACUUCUUCCUCGAACCGUCCCUGUUUUCGCUGGAGCCCUGCUGACUAAAGCUCUUCAUCACUUGCUGAAUGUCGUUUUCCCUGCCACACCCAGCGUCCGAGACUGACGCGUUAGACUUAAUAUUGUCGACGACUGCCGCGGCCGCGAUCAGCAAACAAAAUGAAUGCCCCGCUUCAGAUGCCCGUCCAUGCCACUCUCCUCGCGUUAGCAUGUUCUCUGGCGGUAUGAAGUUGAUGACUCACGCGUGACAUAUCUCCUUCCGUGUGUGCGAGACUGUGCGGCGGAUCGGAACUCGAAGGAGAGUCUGAGACAUGGAUUUUUUCAUUGGUAGUUGAAUGAGUGUCUUCGCUAGUGCAAUGUUUCCAUCUUUUCUCGGGCCCUUGUCCGCGGAUGAAGUGGAAACCCGGCAACUUCAAGUGGUGAUUGUCGAGUGAAAAACGCUGCCGCGAAAGCGCAGCCGUAGGUCCUAGCGAGCUGUCUACUCUCUUCGCAAAACUUUCUGGUGACCGUGCCGGGCCGUAAUUUGAGUGGUAGAUAGCUCGGCUUCCGGAUCUUAUUCUGUCCGUUGUAUAUUGCUGUGGCGGCUGUAAACACGACAUUUUGACGUUGUAUGUGUGCUGGUGCAUUAUCGCAGAUAUGCUUGCUAAUCGCGUACGUCACGUUCGUAUUUCUACCCUGUGGUCGGCGAAACGAGAAGAAACGGAGAGAAGCUUUCCCCCAUUUGAGUCCCACUGCUGGCGGGGUUCACCUCCACAAAAGAGGAAGCACAGCAUACAUGCAUUAUGAUGGACACUGAACAUACUCCAGUAACAUGUUUGUGUUUGCGAACGUGCUUCAAGCCUUUUCGUAUACCAGUUUUUGCCAGUAUUCUUCUCUGUUCGCUUUUAGGCGCUACGCUUUUUGGUUCAACGAAGAAACAUUGUCCGCAAGCCAGUCAAUGUUGAUCUGGAGGGACUCUAAAGACGUUAGCAUUGUGUCGGGAGUGCUAAGUAGUGACGGAGGAGUUUUGUCAGAAUAUUGUGACAUCGCACCUAUGCAGUAACUGGACUCGAUUUCUUUUAUGCUGUAAAAAACUGUAUCUUGGUAGUGAUGAUAUUGCAAGCCCGCUUCAAGAACGCGAUUUUUACAGAUGACAACUUUUGGAGUAUUGAAUUUACGCAACCCACGACAGUGAUG
This 1739-nucleotide long non-coding RNA is filed under the name Toxoplasma gondii VEG. The record is from RNAcentral. Lineage: Eukaryota; Apicomplexa; Conoidasida; Eucoccidiorida; Sarcocystidae.